UACGUAGGGUGCGAGCGUUAAUCGGAAUUACUGGGCGUAAAGCGUGCGUAGGCGGUUCUCCAAGUCCGUUGUGAAAUCCCCGGGCUUAACCUGGGAAUGGCAGUGGAAACUAGGGGACUUGAAUUUGGCAGAGGGGGGUGGAAUUCCACGUGUAGCAGUGAAAUGCGUAAAGAUGUGGAGGAACACCGAUGGCGAAGGCAGCCCCCUGGGCUGAGAUUGACGCUGAGUGCACGAAAGCGUGGGGAGCAAACAGG
RNAcentral lists this ribosomal RNA (254 nucleotides) under uncultured bacterium. Its description in RNAcentral is "partial 16S ribosomal RNA". It matches the Rfam family "Bacterial small subunit ribosomal RNA", at positions 524 to 776 of the family's 1533-position model. The record is from RNAcentral.